This 226-nucleotide unclassified non-coding RNA is filed under the name plant metagenome. RNAcentral's name for it is "partial contains small subunit ribosomal RNA, internal transcribed spacer 1, and 5.8S ribosomal RNA". The record is from RNAcentral.
GACUCCGUUGGUGAACCAGCGGAGGCAUCAUUACAGGACUCGCAAGACUCCUACAACCCUGUGAACUUAACUAUAAGCACGUUGCUUCGGCGGGUGUCUCGGAGGGGGUUCUCCCUCCCCGAGACGCUAAACCCGCCGGCAGCCUACUAUACUCUGUCUCUUUGCGUUGGCAUCUCGAGUACAAUCAAACAAGUUAAAACUUUCAACAACGGAUCUCUUGGUUCUG